CAGGCCUUGUUUAGUUCGCAAAAAUUUUCGGUUUUGGCUACUGUAGCACUUUCGUUUUUAUUUGACAAACAUUGUCGAAACAAAGUGUAACUAGGCUCAAAAGAUUCAUCUCACAAAUUACAGGUAAACUUUGUAAUUAGUUUUUAUUUUCAUUUAUAUUUAAUGCUCCAUACAUGCAACCGAAGAUUCGAUGUGACGGGAAAUCUUGA
Molecule: long non-coding RNA, 209 nt
Filed under: Sorghum bicolor (sorghum)
Lineage: Eukaryota; Viridiplantae; Streptophyta; Magnoliopsida; Poales; Poaceae
Description: long non-coding RNA (SBIC_LNC013362)
Source: RNAcentral